AGUCCACUUUCAGUUCGUUAGCGGACACUGCACCGUUCGGUACUAGGAAGUUGUGGUGAUGAGAUAAUUUGUGACUAUCGUCUACCUGUAUGGGGAAGUAGGGUGGAGCUUCCUUUGUUGUCUGCACUUCGUCAAUGAUUCGACUGCGUUUUCCGUUGGCUAGCCUACUGAAAUUACAAGGCAAGCGCAUCAAGUGAUCCAGGCUCAUGAAUGGGAAAAUGUUGGUAAAGUCUCAACGAAAAAAAAGUCAGGUGUCAGGAGUGGUAUCAAGUUCUGCCCAGGAAGGUGUGAAGACUCCGAAAAUGCAGAACAAGAAUCGUAAGAGCGAGUGAAGGAAGUACAAGCUUCAGAAAAAAGAAGCCUGGAUAACAACUGCUGAUGGAAAGAAAAAAGCAACUCUGACGAACAGAAGAAAAUGGGGAUGAUUUGAUGGACAGAUUAAGAAGAAUAAAAAUAUGGUAAAGUGUUACUCAUGAAGAGAAAAAAAUUGAAAAGUGAUGCUGAUCAUGUAUUUUAAACAAGAUUAGACUGAUGAUGAGAGAGCCAAGCCUCUUCAGCCAAUGAUCUCUCUAGCUUCAAAGUGAGUCGACCUACAAAACUUGCUGCAAGAAAAAUGGGAGGAAUUGUCAGGUGCCACUGAUAUUGGUCUGAAUGACCCUGAAGAGAACUGUGGUGGUGAAGUAGAAACUCUGCUCAUUACUCUUUAUAAAGGAGGGAUGCCAUUUGAGUUAAAUGGAAGAAAACAUGAAA
This is a long non-coding RNA of Macrobrachium nipponense, 750 nucleotides long. RefSeq lists it as uncharacterized. NCBI's taxonomy places the organism in Eukaryota, Metazoa, Arthropoda, Malacostraca, Decapoda, Palaemonidae. The record is from RefSeq and is a predicted model, not a curated record. The transcript is spliced from 3 exons.